UGCAAGCCGAGCGGUAGAGUUUCUUCGGAAACUUGAGAGCGGCGCACGGGUGCGUAACACGUGUGCAACCUACCUUUAUCUGGGGGAUAGCCUUUCGAAAGGAAGAUUAAUACCCCAUAAUAUAAUGAUUGGCAUCAAUUAUUAUUGAAAACUCCGGUGGAUAGAGAUGGGCACGCGCAAGAUUAGAUAGUUGGUGAGGUAACGGCUCACCAAGUCAAUGAUCUUUAGGGGUCCUGAGAGGGAGAUCCCCCACACUGGUACUGAGACACGGACCAGACUCCUACGGGAGGCAGCAGUGAGGAAUAUUGGACAAUGGGUGAGAGCCUGAUCCAGCCAUCCCGCGUGAAGGAAGACGGUCCUAUGGAUUGUAAACUUCUUUUGUACAGGGAUAAACCUACUCUCGUGAGGGUAGCUGAAGGUACUGUACGAAUAAGCACCGGCUAACUCCGUGCCAGCAGCCGCGGUAAUACGGAGGGUGCA
Molecule: ribosomal RNA, 480 nt
Filed under: Kaistella anthropi
Lineage: Bacteria; Pseudomonadati; Bacteroidota; Flavobacteriia; Flavobacteriales; Weeksellaceae
Description: bacterial SSU rRNA
Rfam family: Bacterial small subunit ribosomal RNA
Source: RNAcentral